Molecule: ribosomal RNA, 253 nt
Filed under: uncultured bacterium
Lineage: Bacteria
Description: partial 16S ribosomal RNA
Rfam family: Bacterial small subunit ribosomal RNA
Source: RNAcentral
UACGUAGGGGGCAAGCGUUGUCCGGAUUUAUUGGGCGUAAAGAGCGUGUAGGCGGCCACACAGGUCAGCUGUGAAAACUCGAGGCUCAACCUCGAGACGUCGGUUGAAACCGUAUGGCUAGAGUCCGGAAGAGGAGAGUGGAGUUCCCGGUGUAGCGGUGAAAUGCGCAGAUAUCGGGAAGAACACCCGUGGCGAAGGCGGCUCUCUGGGACGGUACUGACGCUGAGACGCGAAAGCGUGGGGAGCGAACAGG